This 27-nucleotide non-coding RNA is filed under the name Mus musculus (house mouse). The record is from RNAcentral. Lineage: Eukaryota; Metazoa; Chordata; Mammalia; Rodentia; Muridae.
UNUGCCCCUUAGACAAUGGCCCACACC